Molecule: ribosomal RNA, 316 nt
Filed under: Drymusa rengan
Lineage: Eukaryota; Metazoa; Arthropoda; Arachnida; Araneae; Drymusidae
Description: partial 12S ribosomal RNA
Source: RNAcentral
ACUACCCAACAACAAAUAAAACUAAUGUAUUAUGGCGGUAACAACACUAAUUAAAGGAACUUAUUCUGUAAUCGACACUACCCGCUAACUCUCACUUACGUAAAAAGCUUAUAUACCCCCGUCCAGAUAAAUUUGAAAAACUACAUCAAACACAAAUAACUCUAAAAGUCAGGCCAAGGUGUAGCCUUCACCUAAUGAACGAACAAGUUACAUUAAACUAAAAUUUAAGGCUCUCACAAUAAAAACAAUAAGAAAAAAAGGAUUUAAACGUAAAUAGGAAUUAAAAAUUCCUGUAAAAUAACAAACCACGUUACGC